Molecule: ribosomal RNA, 253 nt
Filed under: uncultured bacterium
Lineage: Bacteria
Description: partial 16S ribosomal RNA
Rfam family: Bacterial small subunit ribosomal RNA
Source: RNAcentral
UACGAAGGGGGCUAGCGUUGCUCGGAAUUACUGGGCGUAAAGCGCACGUAGGCGGAUUGUUAAGUCGGGGGUGAAAUCCUGGAGCUCAACUCCAGAACUGCCUUCGAUACUGGCGAUCUCGAGUUCGGGAGAGGUGAGUGGAACUGCGAGUGUAGAGGUGAAAUUCGUAGAUAUUCGCAAGAACACCAGUGGCGAAGGCGGCUAACUGGUCCGGUUCUGACGCUGAGGCGCGAAAGCGUGGGGAGCAAACAGG